GACGAACGCUGGCGGCGCGCUUAACACAUGCAAGUCGAGCGAUGAAACUUUAACAGAACCCUUCGGAGCGUAGCUACGGUCGAUUAGCGGCGGACUGGUGAAUAACACGUUAGUACCCUGCCUUCGACAUUGAGAUAGUCCCGGGAACCCGUGAUUAAUACCAACUAAAAUCAUAAUGACACAUGUCGUAACGAUCAUCACUCCGGUGUUCUACGAUGGACCCGCGUCCCAUUAGCUAGUUGGUAGAGUAACAGCCUACCAAGGCGACGCUGGGUAGCCGGCAUGAGAGGGUGAGCGGACACAUUGGAACUGAGAAACGGUCCAAAAUCUUACGGGAGGGAGCAGAGGGGAAUAGUGCAAAAUGGAGGGAGCUCUGAUGCAGCGACGACGGGUGAACUAAGUAGGCUUGCGAGUCGUAAAGUGCUUGUAUAUGGGAAGAUAAUGACGGUACCAAAAGAAAAAGCCACGGCUAACUACGUG
Molecule: ribosomal RNA, 480 nt
Filed under: uncultured bacterium
Lineage: Bacteria
Description: partial 16S ribosomal RNA
Rfam family: Bacterial small subunit ribosomal RNA
Source: RNAcentral